RNAcentral lists this ribosomal RNA (205 nucleotides) under uncultured bacterium. RNAcentral describes it as "partial 16S ribosomal RNA". It matches the Rfam family "Bacterial small subunit ribosomal RNA", at positions 568 to 774 of the family's 1533-position model. The record is from RNAcentral.
AGCGCAGGUGGUUUAUUAAGUCUGGCGUAAAAGGCAGUGGCUCAACCAUUGUAUGCAUUGGAAACUGGUAGACUUGAGUGCAGGAGAGGAGAGUGGAAUUCCAUGUGUAGCGGUGAAAUGCGUAGAUAUAUGGAGGAACACCGGUGGCGAAAGCGGCUCUCUGGCCUGUAACUGACACUGAGGCUCGAAAGCGUGGGAGCAAACA